UCAUAUAGUCUAGUCUUUAUUGAAAGACUUACUUCAACUGUUGUUUACAGCUUUGGCUUAAGUUGGCCAUUUUAGCCUCUCACUGCCAGCAGACAUAAAAAUCAAGUGGGAAUGGCACGGGGGUUGGGAGUGAAAAUACUAGUAGAGAAAUUAUGAGAACAAAGAAUAUGGCAGUCAGUCAGAAACACAUCACCAAAAUAAAUCUCAAAAUAAUUAUGAAAUAAAAAACAUUUCCUUGCAUGCCCAAAAAGUCUCUGCUGAUGUUUUUGAUGAACGGGGUGGGGAGCAACGAUUCUUAGGCUUAAGUUGGAUCAAGAUAGCAUUGGGUCAUGUUAUAAAAUCAUCUGUUAGCUCAACAGCCAUACUUUUAAUUAAUUCAUUUAUUUUUUGAGAUGGAGUCUCGCUCUGUCGCCCAGGAUAAUUUUAUUAAAUCAUAGAAUAUACAGUCAGGAAACACUACAGCUAUAUUUAGCUGUUAGUUAUCUCAAUAAGCUACUUAAUUUACUGGCAGACCAAAACAGGCAUACUAAGCAUUUUUAUCAAUUAAAAAAAGUCUUCAGUUGUUCAAGUUUCACAUAUACUCAUAAAAUUUUUAACUCGGGGGCACAGUUAACAUAAUUUAUUGAGUGUUCUCCCUAUAAAAUAUAAAUUAACUUUUCCAAAAACAUUCCUCAAAGAUACUAUAAACAAAAGAAAUAAGGGUAUAUUUUAUAACAGAAGAGUGUAAUAGAUGACCAUUAUGGUAAAACUAAGGUGCCAUAAAAAAUUUGGCCCAGCUAUGAAUUUCAGACCCUAUGAAUUUUUAUGUUGAAUACAUUUGGCUAUAUUGCUAAGUGGGAAAAGGAGGAAAGUAAUACCAAAAUUAUUGUGACCACCAAUUUAUAAAAUCAUUAUUUUAAAGCUAAUCGUAAAACUUCAAAUGUUUAGAAAACAGUAAUUUGUGGGUACUAAUCGCAUCUUACUAUGUAACUGUAAAAGGCUAUUUUCUCUUUGGUGCCCAGGCCAGCAUUUUGAAUACAUUGCCAAAACAUUUGCACUCCCUAGCUCUGACAAUUCAAAUACAUAGGAUUUUAUCUAUUUUACAUUCCUGUUUGAUAGAAAUUUGAGGCAAAUUUUACCCACACAGCCUGAAAAAUACCUUGAAAGCAAACCUCGGUCUUCUGCAUCUUCCAAUUGAUUCCUUUACAAACUCUGCACACAUACAACUUAAGCCUCUGCUCAGGCUUAUUAUACCAUGCACACUGCCCACAAGGAAAAAAAUUAAUUGAAAAUAAAAGCCACAACUCUGUGUACUAUUUAAACUGAAUAUCCAAUUAUAAAUUGGUACAUUGAAGUGUCUAAAUAAGAUGUUUUUAGCAAUCUUGUUAAAAAAAUUCUUGGGCAAAAUAUAUCUUAAUUUUUAAAAACACCCCAAGAUUUUUAAAAAACACUUGUACUAUACAACUUAUAGUAACCUUGAAAUUGGUUUACAAGGUUUUAAUCAAGGUAUUUACAUACCAAGUAAUGUAAAGCAAAAAAAAAAAAAAAA
RNAcentral lists this long non-coding RNA (1528 nucleotides) under Homo sapiens (human). Its description in RNAcentral is "HSALNT0168979". The record is from RNAcentral. Lineage: Eukaryota; Metazoa; Chordata; Mammalia; Primates; Hominidae.